Molecule: long non-coding RNA, 1378 nt
Filed under: Homo sapiens (human)
Lineage: Eukaryota; Metazoa; Chordata; Mammalia; Primates; Hominidae
Description: HSALNT0360425
Source: RNAcentral
AUUUUCAGGUGUUGGAAGCCCCGGAGCCUCACAGGGGACCACGCCCACUGCCAGGAGCUGCAGCGAUUCCCCUUUUGUGGUCAGGGAGGCCGUGGAGCCCUGGGUGACCCUGUGACUUCCCAGGCUGCAGGUGGGAUUGAGCCAGGCACUGCGCACGCAGCACUGUGAGCCGCUGGCCCAGGCCAGGCUCCAGAGAUGGGAGCUCCGCGGGUUCACAGUCGUCUGUGACAGCAGAGCUGAGGGGAGGACGCAGACCCUGGCCUGACCUUGGGCUACCUCUCAGGGUUAGGCCACUGCCUCUGCUGCAGACCCAGGCGGCGCCCAAAGCCUGGGCGUCCCUCCGCUGCAGUGAAAGGGAAAAGAAAACCGGGCUGCGGUAAUGCCUGGAGCCAAAAUCUCAGGGAGAAGCCCAGCUCCCGACACCUACCCUCUUAAAGUGCAGUUGGAUUGAAUGAGGCUAAAGGAAGUAACAGGAACCCCGGCCUGGAGGAAGGAGCACGUGCUAUGGGCCUCAGAGGGUGGCAGAGGAGGUCUGCAGGGGCGAGAAUCUCGGACAGAGCCGAGGCACAGAGCGCAGGGGUGCAUCCUUCCGAACCUCGCAUUCAGUGACGUCACCUUGGUGAUUUGAAGUAGGCCCUGGUGGAAGUAUUUACACCAUGGACAUCAGCAAAUGCAACCAAGACCUCCCGCUACCCUGGAGAGCUGGGUUUAAGACAUUUGCCAGCACACCACUGCCCAGGGACCAGUCUCAGCUCCAGAGCUGUGGGUUAUUGGUAAAGGAUGUGAUUUCAUUGAGCCUCAGUUUCUGUAUCUGUAAAGCAGGAAUCUAUCACUUAUGAAAUAUCCUGUGCAGGCACAAUCUUAGGUGUGGAGGAUACAAUACAACUCUUUGUAAUAGUUAAUUUUAUGCAUCAACUUGACUGGAUCACAGUGUGCCCAGAUAUUUGAUCAAACAUUAUUCUGAGUGUUUCCGUGACAAUGUUUUUGGAUACAAUCAACAUUUAUUUAAUUGGUUGAAGACCUGAAUAGAACAAAGAGUUCAAUUCUCUCAAGUAAGAGAAUUCCUCCUGUCUGACUACUUCAGAAUUGGGACAUUGGCUUUUUCCUGCCUCUACACUACAACUACACCAUCAAGCCUUCAGACAUGGAAAGGAACCACACUAUUGGCUCUCCUCGGUCUUCAGCUUGCCAACUCAAUGCAGAUCUUUGCAUUUGUCAGCCUUAUAACCAUGUGAGCUAAUUCCCUAAAAUAAAUGUCCUCAUUUAAAUGUAUUUCCUAUUGCUGUUUCUCUAGAGAACUCUAAUACAACCCCAUACAAAAGUACACCACACUAGAAGAAUUGGGUUAAAUCGAAUUACAAAAAAAAGAAGAAGAUUA